AAAACAUGUCCUUUAGUAUUGAAUUUAAGGUCUAACCUGCCCACUGAUUUAUUAAAUGGCCGCAGUAUUUUAACUGUGCAAAGGUAGCAUAAUCAUUAGUCUUUUAAUUGGAGGCUUGUAUGAAUGGUUGGACAAAAUAUAUAUUGUUUCAUAUAAAUUUAUAGAAUUUUAUUUUUUAGUUAAAAAGCUAAAAUUUAAUUAAAAGACGAGAAGACCCUAUAGAUCUUUAUAAUUAUUGAAUUUAAUUUAUAAAGAAUAUUUUAUUUUUAAUUUAUUCAAUUAUUUUAUUGGGGUGAUAGCAAGAUUUAUUUAACUCUUGANUAAUUUACUACAUAAAUUAAUGAUUAAUUGAUCCAGUAUUAUUGAUUAAUAAAAUAAGUUACCUUAGGGAUAACAGCGUAAUUUUUUUAGAGAGUUCAUAUCGAUAAAAAAGAUUGCGACCUCGAUGUUGGAUUAAGAGAUAAGUUUGGGCGCAGCCGUUCAAAUUUAAAGUCUGUUCGACUUUUUAAUUCUUACAUGAUCUGAGU
This 527-nucleotide ribosomal RNA is filed under the name Prosoeca cf. rubicunda. RNAcentral's name for it is "partial large subunit ribosomal RNA". It matches the Rfam family "Bacterial large subunit ribosomal RNA", at positions 1810 to 2610 of the family's 2925-position model. The record is from RNAcentral. Lineage: Eukaryota; Metazoa; Arthropoda; Insecta; Diptera; Nemestrinidae.